AGAUUGAACGCUGGCGGCGUGCCUAACACAUGCAAGUCGAGCGGUAACAGGUGUAGCAAUACAUGCUGACGAGCGGCGAACGGGUGAGUAAUGCUUUGGAAUCUUCCCAGUAGUGGGGAAUAACCAGUCGAAAGAUUGGCUAAUACCGCAUACGUCUGUAAAGGGAAAGCGGGGGCUCGUAAGACCUCGCGCUAUUGGAUGAGCCAAAGUCGGAUUAGCUAGUUGGUGGGGUAACGGCCUACCAAGGCGACAAUCCGUAGCUGGUCUGAGAGGACGACCAGCCACACCGGAACUGAGACACGGUCCGGACUCCUACGGGAGGCAGCAGUGGGGGAAUAUUGGACAAUGGGGGAAACCCUGAUCCAGCGACGCCGCGUGUGUGAAGAAGGCCUGCGGGUUGUAAAGCACUUUUAGUGGGGACAAAAGCUACGGAUUAAUACUCUGUGGUCUUGAUUUAACCCAAAGUAAAAGCACCGGCUAACUCUGCGCCAGCAGCCGCGGU
This 502-nucleotide ribosomal RNA is filed under the name uncultured bacterium. Its description in RNAcentral is "SSU rRNA". It matches the Rfam family "Bacterial small subunit ribosomal RNA", at positions 26 to 521 of the family's 1533-position model. The record is from RNAcentral.